CGCUUAAAUUCACCUCCAGAUGUCUCAAAACCCUUGAUCGAUUUUCCAUUCUGAUCCAUUUAUCAGCCCUUAAUUUUCUAUUAUUCUGAGCUUCUUACUUAACUUUCCGGCGAAAAUUUCGACACCAUGGCUGCGCUUCUCAGAUUGAGAACUUCCAAGGAAACGGCUUCUUUUACAGCCUCUCAACUGAGAAACUUAUCACUCAAUUACAUGCACGCGGGUGGCAUGUCUAGCUCUUACCGUUCGCACCAUUCAAAAUGGGACGAUCGCUUCGCUAAUGCUCCUUAUCAUUUCACUUCUUUCAAGCCUGUC
RNAcentral lists this unclassified non-coding RNA (312 nucleotides) under Hevea brasiliensis (rubber tree). Lineage: Eukaryota; Viridiplantae; Streptophyta; Magnoliopsida; Malpighiales; Euphorbiaceae. The record is from RNAcentral.